Liolophura sinensis is the source of this 3050-nucleotide long non-coding RNA. RefSeq lists it as uncharacterized. The record is from RefSeq and is a predicted model, not a curated record. Lineage: Eukaryota; Metazoa; Mollusca; Polyplacophora; Chitonida; Chitonidae. The transcript is spliced from 3 exons.
CAAAUGAUGGCUGAAAUACCACUAAUAUAGGGUGAAAUCAUCAUUGUGAUCUGAUUUUUUUUCUUUAGAUGUAGAUUUUAUGGCUUGUAUUAUAAAAAUGAAGAAGUGCGCCACUGGGCCUAGAGGACUUCUCGUUUAUUGUUUUAGUGAAGAGUGUAUAUUGCUGCCCACGUCAUACUGUAUCCCCCUACAGGGUGUGUAUUAUAAACUAAACUCUACGGAUAUCCGUUAGGUAUACAUACGUACUUGUGUAUCUUGUCUCAGACAUUUCCGUUUCAAACCACAUGUAAGUGAAACAAAUACACGUAAGUUUUGCACUUCCAUAUUAUGUUCAUUUCAGUUUACUGUAUGAUGAAGCCCAGCCUUGUAACUGAGUAAACCUGCCUUAGUAUAACAAACACGGGAUUUUUUUUAUUUAUUUAUUACUUUUCGAUGAAUUUAACGUCGUUUCAGUACCUGCAAGGCAUGCGCAAUACAGACUUCCUUUGGUAGUCUGUUAAGCAAAGGUGUUUAUACGAACUUAUAAUAUAUAUGAACCAAUUAUGUCGAUCAACCUUUCACCAACCAAGUGUAAGCAAACGUGUUUAUACGAACUAAUGCACAAAUAAACCAAUUGUGUGGAUCAACCUUCACCAACCACCUGUAAGCAAACGUGUUUAUACGAACACGCAUGUUUAUAUGAAACACAAAUGAACCAAUCAUGUAGACCAACCUUCAUCAACCCAUAAAAACACAACUACCAUCUACAAUAAUGCAGAAAAACCCACAUAGCCCCAAGCAACACUUAUCCAUUUACUAUAUGAAACCAACCACUAGCCAAAUGAAACACGGUCCAAACAACUCACCAACUGAAACUUAUGCAAACCACCAACCAUCUGAAACAACAACAGUUAGCAAAAUCACAAUCUAACCAACCAGUUUGCCUAAAAGUUUAUAAGAACACCCAACAAAUCACUGAUAGCACUGUUCCCACCCAGCCAAUAGGCUGUCAAAAAAUUUACGAAAACAUCCCCGAAGCAAUAGUUCGCCAGAAAAAUCGCCAUCCAGCCAACCAACCAGGGCACCUAAAAGUUAACAAGAUGUUACGAAAUUUUACGAAAACUCCCACCACGAGCAGUGUCAGGACAGUCACCACCCAACCAACGAAGAAGUCACUUACUCUGUCUAAAAGUUUACCAAACACUCAUAUACCCACUUCUGGCACUAUUACCAACCAAUCAAUAAACGAGCCAACCAGUCUGGCCAGAAGUUUCAAAGAACACCCAUCAAACACUUCAGUUAGCAUUAGUCACCCAAUCAGCCGAUCAACCAACCGGGCUGUCCAAAAACAACAGCCAGGCUGUCCAAAAACAAACAGCCAGGCUGUCCAAAAACAAACAGCCAGGCUGUCCAAAAUUUUACAAGUUGGAACGUCUACCACUCUAUGCACAGUCACUAUCUUACCAACCAGCCAGCUAACUAACAAGGGCGUCCAAAGUUUCACCAAACCAACUAAUGCUUAACAUAUUUACCAAUCAAGCAAUCAUCCAAUCAGUCAUCUAAGGCGGUCCAAAAUACGGAUAUCACUCUCGUGGACCUUUUUAUUAUACUGAUAUCAGUUAGAGCCACCAGCUUAUAUACGUUCAGCAGCUCGCUACCAGUUUAGAAUUUCACUUGAGUAGCAGGCUACAUAAACCCUACUGUGAAUUAAUCUGUUUAACACCUGCACUCAAAUAAUUCAGUUAUAACAUCAAUAGCCUUUUAAUGGCAAGACAGAUCCAACAAUGACUGCGCAAUGGCAUGCGCAUGCCCAGGUUUAAAUAUAUCAGUGUGAAUACCUGUCUACAUACAAUCAAAGCACGGUCAUUCUGCAUGGACUCCACCCGGACAUUGCUGUAUUUACGGGUCUGUGUGCGAGUACACGUGUCGUCCACAUGUCUAUUGUAUUGGCCUUCUUAUGCUGUAGAGAAGUCUGGUCUAUGAUUCAUAAAACUUCUGGUGACAACAGACAUAUAAAUAUUUCCACUGCCCGCGUGACACUUGGGUGUUUCCACAGAGACAAAAGUACAGGACUAUACAGUAUCGGUAUUCUAUGAUAAGACCUACCCAGGCGCUAGACACCCUUAACGUAACUCACUCAAGACGCGAUAUAUCUUUUCGCCGGACUAUCGGAGCUAUAAAUAACCCGGUAUCGAUUUUUACUGAAGCGGAAUCGCACCUGGGUUAAUCGGAGCUCGCGAUUCAACAGGAUGUGUGUACGGUUCAUGUGUCUAUCGUUCACAGCGGGCUUCUCUCGGACGCUGUGACGGAUCAUCGCUGUGUCAACUCCGCCCGGUCAGGACACAUCGGUUCAGGGAAAGAGACAAGCGAAAGGUCACCAGUUCCGUAUAGGGGAAUUGAAGUUACUCCCGCAGUCGCAGAGCGACAGUGUAAUCUUGCCACGACACUGAAGAAUGGGCAAUGUCAUUGCGUACUUUUCGUCCAUUUUGGGUUCCAAAUCCGUGGAAGAACCCAAUUCUGACGGAACCCUGAAGGAGACGCAGGUGGAGAAUCCACCCGUGACUGAGCAGGGCCCAGUGGAUGUCGACGAGGUAGCCAUUAGUCUAAAGGUAAUCGUUACAACUCCGACCACUAAGAGAAAAUAUGCCUCAAAAAAGCUGUUCUAAUUUUCCGACUUUUCUCUCUUCCUUUUAUAGUUUUUUUUUUUAUGUAUCUUUUAAUUCAAGUCUCGUUGGUGCGGCUGUGACUUCAUGUCAAGAGGUUUACCUGGUACCUGCUGAUGGGCAGCAGUUUACUCCGGGUACUCCAGGUUCCUGAAAACAACCGAAAAAACAAAACAAAAAUUCUCGCGAUCACGAGCAGGGAUCAGUGGGGCGAUCUCCUGGAACGGGCUCAGGAGGAGCUUGCCGAGAUCCCGGUAAUCGUCAUGUACCUCUAGUUACGCUCUGUACCUAUCACUGUCUAUACUAUACCUCUCAUUCACUCUGUUCCAUCUGUACAGUCUACAGCGAUCACGAGCAGGGAUCAGUGGGACGAUCUCCUGGAACAGGCCCAGGAGGAGCCUGCCGAGA